CCUACGGGAGGCAGCAGUGGGGAAUUUUGGACAAUGGGCGAAAGCCUGAUCCAGCCAUGCCGCGUGCAGGAUGAAGGCCUUCGGGUUGUAAACUGCUUUUGUACGGAACGAAAAGGUCCUUUCUAAUAAAGAGGGCUCAUGACGGUACCGUAAGAAUAAGCACCGGCUAACUACGUGCCAGCAGCCGCGGUAAUACGUAGGGUGCAAGCGUUAAUCGGAAUUACUGGGCGUAAAGCGUGCGCAGGCGGUGAUGUAAGACAGAUGUGAAAUCCCCGGGCUCAACCUGGGAACUGCAUUUGUGACUGCAUCGCUGGAGUGCGGCAGAGGGGGAUGGAAUUCCGCGUGUAGCAGUGAAAUGCGUAGAUAUGCGGAGGAACACCGAUGGCGAAGGCAAUCCCCUGGGCCUGCACUGACGCUCAUGCACGAAAGCGUGGGGAGCAAACAGGAUUAGAUACCCUGGUAGUCCACGCCCUAAACGAUGUCAACUGGUUGUUGGGUCUUCACUGACUCAGUAACGAAGCUAACGCGUGAAG
This 533-nucleotide ribosomal RNA is filed under the name uncultured bacterium. RNAcentral describes it as "bacterial SSU rRNA". It matches the Rfam family "Bacterial small subunit ribosomal RNA", at positions 338 to 864 of the family's 1533-position model. The record is from RNAcentral.